GUAGUGGUAAUAUAUAUUCCCUCAUCCCGCAAAGUCUGUCUUAGUUUGAAUUUUGAAAUUAAAUUGACCAAUUUUAGAAUUAAAAUUUAUUUUUAUUUUUUUAAAUAUGGUUAAAGAGAUUAUAACUAUAAGAAAAGAAAUUAAGUACAUUUAAUUUACUACAACAUUCAAUUUUUGGAAGUUCAAAAAUAUAAGUAAAUGUGCUU
This 206-nucleotide long non-coding RNA is filed under the name Panax ginseng (ginseng). RNAcentral's name for it is "long non-coding RNA (PGIN_LNC015617)". Lineage: Eukaryota; Viridiplantae; Streptophyta; Magnoliopsida; Apiales; Araliaceae. The record is from RNAcentral.